RNAcentral lists this ribosomal RNA (364 nucleotides) under uncultured Ehrlichia sp. RNAcentral's name for it is "bacterial SSU rRNA". It matches the Rfam family "Bacterial small subunit ribosomal RNA", at positions 74 to 453 of the family's 1533-position model. The record is from RNAcentral. Lineage: Bacteria; Pseudomonadati; Pseudomonadota; Alphaproteobacteria; Rickettsiales; Anaplasmataceae.
CCUCUGGCUAUAGGAAAUUGUUAGUGGCAGACGGGUGAGUAAUGCGUAGGAAUCUACCUAGUAGUACGGAAUAGCCAUUAGAAAUGGUGGGUAAUACUGUAUAAUCCCCGAGGGGGAAAGAUUUAUCGCUAUUAGAUGAGCCUACGUUAGAUUAGCUAGUUGGUGAGGUAAUGGCUUACCAAGGCUAUGAUCUAUAGCUGGUCUGAGAGGACGAUCAGCCACACUGGAACUGAGAUACGGUCCAGACUCCUACGGGAGGCAGCAGUGGGGAAUAUUGGACAAUGGGCGAAAGCCUGAUCCAGCUAUGCCGCGUGAGUGAAGAAGGCCUUCGGGUUGUAAAACUCUUUCAAUAGGGAAGAUAAUG